AUGUCAGUGAUGACAUACGUGGCAGAACUGCAGGCUCUGUGGGCUGACCAGGAUAACUGUGAUCCCCUGGAACUCUAUGACGCGGCUUCAAUCGAGUCAGGGCAUAAGUGGAUGGCACGCAGGCGUGUGCUGAAAUUUUUGGCUGGCCUCAAAGGUUGCUUUGAUGGCAGGAAGGCUUCCCUGUUGCACCAACCUAGUCCGCCUACCAUUCCCGAGGCUAUUGCAGCGAUGACUCAAGAGGAGGCGCGCCUAUCCCUUGAGCAUGCAGACGUGAAAGGUUGUGCCAGCUUUGACAUUUGCAGUCACUGA
Molecule: ribosomal RNA, 309 nt
Filed under: Triticum aestivum (bread wheat)
Lineage: Eukaryota; Viridiplantae; Streptophyta; Magnoliopsida; Poales; Poaceae
Description: partial small subunit ribosomal RNA
Source: RNAcentral